Molecule: long non-coding RNA, 1411 nt
Organism: Scophthalmus maximus (turbot)
Lineage: Eukaryota; Metazoa; Chordata; Actinopteri; Pleuronectiformes; Scophthalmidae
Exons: 4
Source: RefSeq, a predicted model, not a curated record
AUCAGAUCCACCUGAGACUGACUUGCCUUUUCUGGUUCCUCCAGGUGUUGCUGGGCAUCGGUCUGGCUCUGACGUAGACAGCUGCAGAAGAGGCGAGGGGCUGAACACACUCUGCCUAUGUCAUUCCUCGAUUGACCAAUGGGGUAAAAGCUAAGCUGCCAAGAAGUUUCCCUCCUUGGCUUGGCUCCAGGACGCAGCACUGAUCUUCUCAAAAAACAGAUACUGUAACAGUGACCUCUUCUGGUCAGCCUCGUGUAAAUGCUGCCAGCAGCUGAUUGGUUGGUGGGAAGCGUCGAAGAUCUCUAACAGACAUACUUCUGUCAAGAGCUCCUUUGGGCGGGACGAUGGGUAGCUGGCGAACUCGGCGGCCACAGACUGGCGUUCCUGAUGGGCUCGUCUGGUUCGAUCCACCAUGAGGAUUCGCCCUGUUGGACAAAGUCAGGAAUCAAACAGCCGACCUCACAGGGCUAAAGUCAAAGAGCAGAUGACUCCGAUCAACUGGAACCAUUCAGAAGAUCUGACAAUGAGAAUCCCCCUGAGGGUCUGUGAUAUAACCCCUGUGUGAGCUUUGACCCACCCGAUGGGUCGGGACACCACCAGCUCCACCUGUGGUUCUGGUUUAGAAUCCAGGAUGAUGUUAUAAACUUCAUUAAACGAGGCUCCCUGAAGAACCCGACCGUUCCACUCCAGAACCUGAUCACCUGAACCAUGGAGGGGGAGGAGAGGAGGAGGAUGAAGAUGGAGAAAAAGAAGAAGAAGAACAUUGAUUGGCUGGAAUUAAGAUGUAAUACACUCAUUGGCAUUUUCUCUCUCAGGGCCUAGUAGUAUCAUUUCAGUUUCAUUUUAAAACCUGUCAACAUGCCGACUACUGACCAAUCAGAUCUCUUAAAGAAAUGGAGUCAUCAUUAAGCAUCGACAUUUUAGGGAAUCAAAGAAACUUCAGUGUCAUUGACUCUUUGUCUGAGAUGGAUUACCUGGCCUCAGGUGUCCCACGGUGUCGGCCAGACUUCCUCUCUUUACCUUGGUGAUGAACGCACAGAGACGCCCAGACUCCGUCAUCUUCCCGCCAACAACCUGAAAACACACCGCCCAUGAGCAAGGCACCGAACUGAACACUGAUGUUCACAGUCAGGAGGAAGAGGAAGACGGGUUCAUCACCUUGAGUCCCAGCAGCGCUCCGGUAUCCGCUGGAACCGUCCCGUCCUUCAUCCUCUUGUUCAGUAGAAUGCGACCAAUCAGACGCUCUCCGUCCUUCGACGGUUGCCAUGUGACCGGAUGCUGAGGAGUCACAGUGUAAAUACAUGUGGUUGUUAAGCAGUUGUUCUGGUAAUUAAAGUUUUAAUUUCUAAAGGAACAAAUUGAAUCGUGGGGGGGUUGGCUCAGUCUUACCAUAGACAUGGGCGCAGGUUCG